This 450-nucleotide ribosomal RNA is filed under the name uncultured Bacillota bacterium. Its description in RNAcentral is "bacterial SSU rRNA". It matches the Rfam family "Bacterial small subunit ribosomal RNA", at positions 338 to 795 of the family's 1533-position model. The record is from RNAcentral. Lineage: Bacteria; Bacillati; Bacillota.
CCUACGGGAGGCUGCAGUAGGGAAUAUUGCGCAAUGGAGGAAACUCUGACGCAGCGACGCCGCGUGAGCGAUGAAGGUCUUCGGAUCGUAAAGCUCUGUCCUUGGGGAAGAAGAUCGCAAGAUUUGACGGUACCCGAGGAGGAAGCCCCGGCUAACUACGUGCCAGCAGCCGCGGUAAUACGUAGGGGGCAAGCGUUGUCCGGAAUUAUUGGGCGUAAAGGGUGCGUAGGCGGCCUUUUAAGUCAGGUGUGAAAGCCCACGGCUUAACCGUGGGAUUGCAUUUGAAACUGGAGGGCUUGAGUAUCGGAGAGGGUAGUGGAAUUCCCAGUGUAGCGGUGAAAUGCGUAGAUAUUGGGAGGAACACCAGUGGCGAAGGCGACUACCUGGACGAAAACUGACGCUGAUGCACGAAAGCUAGGGUAGCAAACAGGAUUAGAUACCCGUGUAGUC